RNAcentral lists this long non-coding RNA (262 nucleotides) under Homo sapiens (human). Its description in RNAcentral is "non-protein coding lnc-NMNAT2-3:1". The record is from RNAcentral. Lineage: Eukaryota; Metazoa; Chordata; Mammalia; Primates; Hominidae.
GUGUGAGGAGAGGGGUGUGGGCUGGGUGGGGUGUGAGCUGUGUGGUGUGUGAGCAGGAGAGGGGUGUGAGCUGUGUGGUGUGUGAGGAGGAGAGGGGUGUGAGCUGUGUGGUGUGUGAGGAGGAGAGGGGUGUGAGCUGUCUGGUGUGUGAGGAGAGGGGUGUGGGCUGUGUGGUGUGUGAGGAGAGGGGUGUGAGCUGUGUGGUGUGUGAGGAGGAGAGGGGUGUGGGCUGUGUGGUGUGUGAGCAGGAGAGGGGUGUGAG